Molecule: long non-coding RNA, 1451 nt
Organism: Pygocentrus nattereri (red-bellied piranha)
Lineage: Eukaryota; Metazoa; Chordata; Actinopteri; Characiformes; Serrasalmidae
Source: Ensembl
UUUCACCAAUGAAAAACAUUUCUCCUGAAAUAUUUUAAAUAUUUGUUUCCUAUUUCGCGGUAAACUUUGUCUGAACGGGCAGAGCUGUAGUUAAGUCGGUUUGUUGUCAAAGCUUUGAGGAUCCUAGUCAAUCUUAGUUUAGCUUACACUGCACUCGCCUCAUGAUGUACGGCUUUGGUAGGGAAUGAAAAUAGAAAUAAGAUGAAGGACGGACUGCAAAAGUGAUCGUAUGUCAGCCCUUUUAGACCUUUCAAUACAUUUAAAAACCCAUCUGUGAAGGAGGAAGACUAUUUUGUCCUGUUGGCUGCGGAGAUUGCUUAGGCUCCGGUUAUUUCAGUGGCUAUGCUAACUUGAGGCUCUGUAAUGUAACUGCUGCGCCAUUUAAGGUGGAACAGGAAAAUUUGAACAAGAAGCUGACUUCUUCACCCAGAGUUGAAAGACUUGAAAAGGGAUGAGGAUGUUGCUCUGUUUCUGUUUAACAGGGGGUUUGAAGCAGGAACUGCAAUGUGGGUUGAGUAUGUUAAGCCUGGGAGGUGUGGCAACCUACUUCUACUCCUGUUACCUAUGUUCUUCUGUAGAGUCAUACACCCUCAGCAGAAAGCCAGGUAAGUGCUAGUCUGGGUAGAAGUUGAUCUUUGACACUGUUACAGGAGCAGCUCCAUUUAUCCAAAUGUUCACCUUAGCCAUUUAAGUCAAAUGGCAAAACUGUUCUCAGAUCAACUAAGUCUGUAGUGUGCCUCCUGUGGGUCUGACUGUGUAACAACUCCCACCAAACCUCACACUCUCCAUUUUAAUAGCUUUAGACUACAGGGCUUUGCUUUACACGUUGAAUAGUGACUGGUGAAGGGUAAUUCUCACAACUAGACACAACACACUCCUCAAGUUGAUUGUUUUAUGGUUUUCUUGAUGUAUAUUUCUGUAGACACAAGGCCACUGGAAGUUAUGCUGGUGGCUGCAAUAUGGUCACAUCAAAAUGAACAUGAUAUGUUUGAAAACUGUUGGCUAAUUAAUUUGUAUACAUACUAAUACAAAACCUUUGCCAGUGCUUUACAUGCCUUUUCUUUAUUUUAUGUUACUGUAUCGCAGAUGUUACAAACUACUGAGUGAGAUAUCAAGGAAGACAGUCACAAUGAGCAGUUUUAUUUGUGUGUGAUCCGCAAGGGAGAGAUGGAGCUAAGUGCUGCUAGGGGGCUUGUGUGGGGUGGUUAUCCCUCCCUCCAGAUGUAAUAGUUUGAUCCCUCCAGGCCAGAGCUUUAAACUCUCAAAACAAAGUUCUGUAAUGCACUGACUGCAAACAAUUAAGAGUCGGAGUGUAUCACAGAACUUUACUUGGAAAGCCAGAGAAGAAGCACGCUAAUCCUCCUUCACUAUGGGACUUCUCAUCUUCUCACUGCCUUUAGAAUGAAACAGAGGGGUAAAGAGACAGGUUAGAUUUAUUUAUAAUAACCAUA